UGUCCCGUGGUGUAAUGGUAGCACAACAGGUUUUGGUUCUGUUUGCCAAGGUUCGAAUCCUUGCGGGACAA
RNAcentral lists this transfer RNA (71 nucleotides) under Bacteroidales bacterium KA00251. It matches the Rfam family "tRNA". Rfam says of the family: Transfer RNA (tRNA) molecules are approximately 80 nucleotides in length. Lineage: Bacteria; Pseudomonadati; Bacteroidota; Bacteroidia; Bacteroidales. The record is from Rfam by way of RNAcentral.